Molecule: long non-coding RNA, 342 nt
Filed under: Cyanistes caeruleus (blue tit)
Lineage: Eukaryota; Metazoa; Chordata; Aves; Passeriformes; Paridae
Description: lncRNA (ENSCCEG00000019020.1)
Source: RNAcentral
AGCGCUUUCAGAAGUGCUUGGCCAUGAGCAGUUCCUGUUGACAUGAAGCAUGUCUGUGUGCUUAUCUACAGCUGUCACCUCUUCUGCAGGUCCUUUAAGCACCUCCUUUGCUGGUGCCUGUGUCAGCACAAUGACCUAUCCCACUGUCAGGAAGGCUUGAUGGCAUUUUGAAAAUGGUUGUUAACCUUGAGGCACUGUAGUUUGGAAAAUGCCAGUCUGACUCACAAGAAACAGAGAGACCACUCUGAAAAGAGAUCCAGGAAAGUGGAUAUGCAGGUAAAUCUAUUGUAACAUCCCUCUACAAUAACUGAAUCAAGCUGCAGGACACAAAGUCUGCUGAGG